Molecule: ribosomal RNA, 486 nt
Filed under: uncultured bacterium
Lineage: Bacteria
Description: bacterial SSU rRNA
Rfam family: Bacterial small subunit ribosomal RNA
Source: RNAcentral
AUUGAACGCUGGCGGAAUGCUUUACACAUGCAAGUCGAACGGCAGCAUAGGUGCUUGCACCUGAUGGCGAGUGGCGAACGGGUGAGUAAUACAUCGGAACGUGCCCAGUCGUGGGGGAUAACGUAGCGAAAGUUACGCUAAUACCGCAUACGAUCUACGGAUGAAAGCGGGGGACCGUAAGGCCUCGCGCGAUUGGAGCGGCCGAUGUUAGAUUAGGUAGUUGGUGGGGUAAAGGCUCACCAAGCCGACGAUCUAUAGCUGGUCUGAGAGGAUGAUCAGCCACACUGGGACUGAGACACGGCCCAGACUCCUACGGGAGGCAGCAGUGGGGAAUUUUGGACAAUGGGCGCAAGCCUGAUCCAGCCAUUCCGCGUGCAGGACGAAGGCCUUCGGGUUGUAAACUGCUUUUGUACAGAACGAAAAGCCUUGGGUUAAUACCCUGGGGUCAUGACGGUACUGUAAGAAUAAGCACCGGCUAACUACGUG